CAAAUAAGGGUCGGUUUUCAGUUACUGUUUGGGACUGGAAAACUGAAAGAUACAAACAAAUUAUCAAAUCUGGAACUGUGGAGCCUAGACCUGGAGUUCUUAGAUUGAUGGAUGAAGCAAGGCCAAUG
Pistacia vera is the source of this 128-nucleotide long non-coding RNA. RefSeq lists it as uncharacterized. The record is from RefSeq and is a predicted model, not a curated record. The transcript is spliced from 3 exons. NCBI's taxonomy places the organism in Eukaryota, Viridiplantae, Streptophyta, Magnoliopsida, Sapindales, Anacardiaceae.